This 520-nucleotide ribosomal RNA is filed under the name uncultured Glomus. RNAcentral's name for it is "SSU rRNA". It matches the Rfam family "Eukaryotic small subunit ribosomal RNA", at positions 569 to 1089 of the family's 1831-position model. The record is from RNAcentral. Lineage: Eukaryota; Fungi; Glomeromycota; Glomeromycetes; Glomerales; Glomeraceae.
AGCAGCCGCGGUAAUUCCAGCUCCAAUAGCGUAUAUUAAAGUUGUUGCAGUUAAAAAGCUCGUAGUUGAAUUUCGGGGUUAGUAGGUUGGUCAUGCCUCUGGUAUGUACUGGUCUCACUGAUUCCUCCUUCCUGAUGAGCCGUAAUGCCAUUAAUUUGGUGUUGCGGGGAAUUUGGACUGUUACUUUGAAAAAAUUAGAGUGUUUAAAGCAAGCUAACGCUUGAAUACAUUAGCAUGGAAUAAUGAAAUAGGACGUUCGAUCCUAUUUUGUUGGUUUCUAGGAUUGACGUAAUGAUUAAUAGGGAUAGUUGGGGGGCAUUAGUAUUCAAUUGUCAGAGGUGAAAUUCUUGGAUUUAUUGAAGACUAACUACUGCGAAAGCAUUUGCCAAGGAUGUUUUCAUUAAUCAAGAACGAAAGUUAGGGGAUCGAAGACGAUCAGAUACCGUCGUAGUCUUAACCAUAAACUAUGCCGACUAGGGAUCGGAUGAUGUUAAUUUUUUAAUGACUCAUUCGGCGCCUU